UACGGAAGGCAGCAGUGGGGAAUAUUGCACAAUGGGCGCAAGCCUGAUGCAGCCAUGCCGCGUGUAUGAAGAAGGCCUUCGGGUUGUAAAGUACUUUCAGUCGUGAGGAAGGUGUUAAGGUUAAUAACCUUAGCAAUUGACGUUAGCGACAGAAGAAGCACCGGCUAACUCCGUGCCAGCAGCCGCGGUAAUACGGAGGGUGCGAGCGUUAAUCGGAAUUACUGGGCGUAAAGGGCACGCAGGCGGUUAAUUAAGUUGGAUGUGAAAUCCCCGGGCUUAACCUGGGAAUGGCAUUCAAGACUGGUUAGCUAGAGUCUUGUAGAGGGGGUAGAAUUCCAUGUGUAGCGGUGAAAUGCGUAGAGAUGUGGAGGAAUACCGGUGGCGAAAGGCGGCCCCUGGGACAAAGACUGACGCUCAUGUGCGAAAGCGUGGGGAGCAAACAGGGAUUAGAUACC
RNAcentral lists this ribosomal RNA (455 nucleotides) under uncultured bacterium. RNAcentral's name for it is "bacterial SSU rRNA". It matches the Rfam family "Bacterial small subunit ribosomal RNA", at positions 340 to 786 of the family's 1533-position model. The record is from RNAcentral.